Molecule: ribosomal RNA, 497 nt
Filed under: uncultured bacterium
Lineage: Bacteria
Description: partial 16S ribosomal RNA
Rfam family: Bacterial small subunit ribosomal RNA
Source: RNAcentral
GAUGAACGCUGGCGGCGUGCCUAAUACAUGCCAGUCGAGCGAACGGACGAGAAGCUUGCUUCUCUGAUGUUAGCGGCGGACGGGUGAGUAACACGUGGAUAACCUACCUAUAAGACUGGGAUAACUUCGGGAAACCGGAGCUAAUACCGGAUAAUAUUUUGAACCGCAUGGUUCAAAAGUGAAAGACGGUCUUGCUGUCACUUAUAGAUGGAUCCGCGCUGCAUUAGCUAGUUGGUAAGGUAACGGCUUACCAAGGCAACGAUGCAUAGCCGACCUGAGAGGGUGAUCGGCCACACUGGAACUGAGACACGGUCCAGACUCCUACGGGAGGCAGCAGUAGGGAAUGUUCCGCAAUGGGCGGAAGCCUGACGGAGCAACGCCGCGUGAGUGAUGAAGGUCUUCGGAUCGUAAAACUCUGUUAUUAGGGAAGAACAUAUGUGUAAGUAACUGUGCACAUCUUGACGGUACCUAAUCAGAAAGCCACGGCUAACUACGUG